This 490-nucleotide ribosomal RNA is filed under the name uncultured bacterium. RNAcentral describes it as "partial 16S ribosomal RNA". It matches the Rfam family "Bacterial small subunit ribosomal RNA", at positions 30 to 507 of the family's 1533-position model. The record is from RNAcentral.
AUUGAACGCUGGCGGCAUGCCUAACACAUGCAAGUCGAACGGUAACAGGAAGAAGCUUGCUUCUUUGCUUACGAGUGGCGGACGUGUGAGUAAUGUCUGGGAAACUGCCUUAUGGAUGGGGAUAACUACUGGAAACGGUAGCUAAUACCGCAUAAUGUCUCAAGACCAUAGAGGAGGACCUUCGGGCCGCUUUCCAUCGGCUUUUCCCAGAUGGGAUUAGCUAGUAGGUGGGGUAACGGCUCACCUAGGCGACGAUCCAUAGCUGGUCUGAGAGGAUGACCAGCCACACUGGAACUGAGACACGGUCCAGACUCCUACGGGAGGCAGCAGUGGGGAAUAUUGCACAAUGGGCGCAAGCCUGAUGCAGCAAUGCCGCGUGUAUGAAGAAGGCCUUCGGGUUGUAAAGUACUUUCAGCGGGGAGGAAGGGAGUAAAGUUAAUACCUUUGCUCAUUGACGUUACCCGCAGAAGAAGCACCGGCUAACUACGUG